RNAcentral lists this ribosomal RNA (252 nucleotides) under uncultured bacterium. Its description in RNAcentral is "partial 16S ribosomal RNA". It matches the Rfam family "Bacterial small subunit ribosomal RNA", at positions 524 to 776 of the family's 1533-position model. The record is from RNAcentral.
UACGUAGGGGGCAAGCGUUAUCCGGAAUUAUUGGGCGUAAAGAGUGCGUAGGUGGUUACUUAAGCGCGGGGUUUAAGGCAAUGGCUCAACCAUUGUUCGCCCUGCGAACUGGGUUACUUGAGUGCAGGAGAGGAAAGCGGAAUUCCUAGUGUAGCGGUGAAAUGCGUAGAUAUUAGGAAGAACACCAGUGGCGAAGGCGAUUCUCUGGACUGUAACUGACGCUGAGGCUCGAAAGCGUGGGGAGCAAACAGG